RNAcentral lists this ribosomal RNA (677 nucleotides) under uncultured bacterium. Its description in RNAcentral is "bacterial SSU rRNA". It matches the Rfam family "Bacterial small subunit ribosomal RNA", at positions 139 to 813 of the family's 1533-position model. The record is from RNAcentral.
GGGGAUAAGCGGAAGAAAUUCCGUCUAAUACCGCGUAAUAACUCCGAGAGGCAUCUCCUGGGGUUUAAAGGGUAACACCGGCUACGGAUGGCCAUGCGGCGCAUUAGCUAGUUGGCGGGGUAACGGCCCACCAAGGCGACGAUGCGUAGGGGUUCUGAGAGGAAGGUCCCCCACACUGGUACUGAGACACGGACCAGACUCCUACGGGAGGCAGCAGUGAGGAAUAUUGGUCAAUGGGCGCGAGCCUGAACCAGCCAAGUCGCGUGAGGGAAGACGGUCCUAUGGAUUGUAAACCUCUUUUGUCGGGGAGCAAAAGACGCCACGCGUGGCGUUCCGAGAGUACCCGAAGAAAAAGCAUCGGCUAACUCCGUGCCAGCAGCCGCGGUAAUACGGAGGAUGCGAGCGUUAUCCGGAUUUAUUGGGUUUAAAGGGUGCGCAGGCGGAAGAUCAAGUCAGCGGUAAAAUUGAGAGGCUCAACCUCUUCGAGCCGUUGAAACUGGUUUUCUUGAGUGAGCGAGAAGUAUGCGGAGUGCGUGGUGUAGCGGUGAAAUGCAUAGAUAUCACGCAGAACUCCGAUUGCGAAGGCAGCAUACCGGCGCUCAACUGACGCUCAUGCACGAAAGUGUGGGUAUCGAACAGGAUUAGAUACCCUGGUAGUCCACACAGUAAACGAUGAA